RNAcentral lists this long non-coding RNA (1415 nucleotides) under Salmo salar (Atlantic salmon). Its description in RNAcentral is "lncRNA (ENSSSAG00000114091.1)". The record is from RNAcentral. Lineage: Eukaryota; Metazoa; Chordata; Actinopteri; Salmoniformes; Salmonidae.
GAAUGAUUGUCGGGGCUCCGUAUCAGCAAUAAAAGGGGUCCAGGCCAAUUAGCAAAAAAGGUAUUGUAGCCCAAGGAGUGGCUGAUGGACCUCUUCAGCUAGCCGGAAGAUGGACCUAGAAUAGGCUAGCUCCAGGCUAAUUGGUGCUUGCUUUGGGACAGAGAUGUUAGCCAGGAGAAGCCAAUCGGAUAGCAGCUAGCUAGCUGCGAUGAUCCAGGUGAAAAGGUUCAGAGCUUGCGGUAGGAAUCCUGAGAUAUGGAGAAAAAUAAGUCUGAUUUAAUCUGGUUUGAGUCGCGCUGUCCAGACUGGCGAGAGUUGUCCAGGCUGAAGGUAGCUGAUGACCGCUAGCAGUGGCUAGCUGACUACUAGCUGGUAGCUAGUUAGCUGGCUAGCUGCUGUUGAGGGUCCCGGUUCAAAAGUAAAGAAAAUAGCAGAAUCAUACCACAUUGGGUGAGGCGGAUUGCAGGAGAGUAUGUUGAAGUUGAGGUUAAGAAAAAUCUAAAAAAAGAUAUGCGAAGAAAAAAGAUAUAAAAAGAUAUAUACAUGGGACACGACAAGACGAAGGACAAAAGAUGUCUGACUGCUACACCAUCUUGGAAAUGCAUGGGGUAUCGUCGGACGGGGCCACAGUGUCCCUUGACCCACCCCUGUCUCAGUCUCCAGUAUCUAUGCUGCAAUAGUCUAUGGACAGUCUGUUAUAUCUGCUGUAAUUCUCCUGUCUUAUCUGGUGUCCUGUGUGAAUUUAAGUAUGCUCCCUCUAAUUCUCUCUCUCUCCCUCUCUCCCUCUCUCCCUCCCAUCUCGGAGGACCUGAGCCCUAGGAUCAUGCCUCGGGACUACCUGGCCUGAUGCCUCGUGGCUGUACCCAGUCAACCUGGUCGUGCUGUUGCUCCAGUUUCAAUUGUUCUGCCUGCGGCUAGAUAACCCUGACCUGUUCACCAGACGUGCUACCUUGUCCCGGACCUGCUGUUUUCGACUCUCUCUACCGCACCUGCUGUCUCGACCUCUGAAUGCUCAGCUAUGAAAAGCCAACUGACAUUUACUCCUGAGGUGCUGACCUGUUGCACCCUCUACAACCACUGUGAUUAUUAUUAUUUGACCCUGCUGGUCAUCUAUGAACACCUGAACAUCUUGGCCAUGUUCUGUUAUAACCUCCACCCGGCACAGCCAGAAGAGGACUGGCCAUUCCUCAGAGCCUGGUUCCUCUCUAGGUUUCUUCCUAGGUUCCAGCCUUUCUAGGGAGUUUUUCCUAGGCACGGUGCUUCUACAUCUGCAUUGUUUGCUGUUUGGGGUUUUAAGCUGGGUUUCUGUAUAGCACUUUCUGUAUAGGGCUUAAUAAAUACAUUUGAUUGAUUGAUUGUCUCGCUGUGUGUGUAACCUGAUUUUGUGUGUGUGUGUGUGUGUGUGUGUGUGUGUG